GACGAACGCUGGCGGCGUGCCUAAUACAUGCAAGUAGAACGCUGAAGAGAGGAGCUUACUCUUCUUGGAUGAGUUGCGAACGGGUGAGUAACGCGUAGGUAACCUGCCUUGUAGCGGGGGAUAACUAUUGGAAACGAUAGCUAAUACCGCAUAACAAUGGAUGACACAUGUCAUUUAUUUGAAAGGGGCAAUUGCUCCACUACAAGAUGGACCUGCGUUGUAUUAGCUAGUAGGUGAGGUAAUGGCUCACCUAGGCGACGAUACAUAGCCGACCUGAGAGGGUGAUCGGCCACACUGGGACUGAGACACGGCCCAGACUCCUACGGGAGGCAGCAGUAGGGAAUCUUCGGCAAUGGGGGCAACCCUGACCGAACAACGCCGCGUGAGUGAAGAAGGUUUUCGGAUCGUAAAGCUCUGUUGUAAGUCAAGAACGGGUGUGAGAGUGGAAAGUUCACACUGUGACGGUAGCUUACCAGAAAGGGACGGCUAACUACGUG
This 497-nucleotide ribosomal RNA is filed under the name uncultured bacterium. Its description in RNAcentral is "partial 16S ribosomal RNA". It matches the Rfam family "Bacterial small subunit ribosomal RNA", at positions 28 to 507 of the family's 1533-position model. The record is from RNAcentral.